UCUCCGUUGGUGAGCCAGCGGAGGGAUCAUUACCGAGUUAUCAACUCCCAAACCCCUGUGAACAUACCCAACGUUGCUUCGGCGGGACCGCCCCGGCGCCCUCGGCGUCCCGGAACCAGGCGCCCGCCGGAGGACCCAAACUCUUGUUUAAACCAUAGUGGCAUAUUCUGAGUCUCACAAGAAAAAUGAAUCAAAACUUUCAACAACGGAUCUCUUGGCUCUG
Molecule: unclassified non-coding RNA, 223 nt
Filed under: plant metagenome
Description: partial contains small subunit ribosomal RNA, internal transcribed spacer 1, and 5.8S ribosomal RNA
Source: RNAcentral